This 253-nucleotide ribosomal RNA is filed under the name uncultured prokaryote. Its description in RNAcentral is "partial 16S ribosomal RNA". It matches the Rfam family "Bacterial small subunit ribosomal RNA", at positions 525 to 777 of the family's 1533-position model. The record is from RNAcentral.
ACGGAGGGGGCUAGCGUUGUUCGGAAUUACUGGGCGUAAAGCGCACGUAGGCGGCUUUGCAAGUUAGAGGUGAAAGCCCGGGGCUCAACCCCGGAACUGCCUUUGAAACUAGAUAGCUUGAAUCACGGAGAGGUGGGUGGAAUUCCGAGUGUAGAGGUGAAAUUCGUAGAUAUUCGGAAGAACACCAGUGGCGAAGGCGGCCCACUGGACGUGUAUUGACGCUAAGGUGCGAAAGCGUGGGGAGCAAACAGGA